UGAUCUUCAAACCUUGGAAACCAAACACCCCCUCCUCAUCUUCUUCGCUAAACAAGCCGGCUAUACCGCCUCUCUCUCGUGUCUCUCUCUCGUUCGGCUUCCCGAUUACAGAGGUGAGAACCUCACCCCAAACCUUCCCCCUGUAUCUCUUUUGCUCUCCUCUCCGGCGAAGUUUGAAUCGUAGAAGCUCCGGCAGCAACAAACGCGAAGCAGCUAUGGCGGUGGCUAGCAUGGAAGUUCGGCAGAACGGUUCCGGCGAGUUUGGUCAAGCAGGCAACAACCCAGGCGAGCUCUUCUUCUCCUCCCUCCGGUUUCCGGCGUCCCCUAUUCCAGUGGGCAGAGCAUCUCUGGCAAUGGUGGGAGGAUCGUGGCAACGGCGGUGUCGGCGAAGCUCGGCAGUGGCGUUCUUCUCCUUCCGGCGUGUCCUCUCCGGCAACUCGGUGGCUCAGGUGUUCCCCGCGAGUAGAUGGAUGGGAGGUGGUGUCACCGUGUUCCACCCGCGGGAACGCUUCAUGAAGAAGAAGAAGAAGGAUGGCGUGGUUCCCGAUAGCUUGGUUUUAUGAGUUGAGCAAAUGUUAGCGUUGGUUUUGGUGGGAUAAGCGAAUGAGGUUGGGUAGCCUUGGAGAGCGCGCUAGUGGCCUGUAGAUAGUGUUAUCUCUUCCUGUAUUAGUUGUUGAGGCCUGUGAGCCUAUGUGGUAGAGUUGUUAGACUGUUGUAGUUGUAGUAUCUGCCUGUGCGCCUAUGUUUGAUUUAGGUGUGGCAUAGCAUCUCCCGGAUUUAUGUAGUUCGCUUCCGCUUCUCUUAUGUUGAUGUUUAGUCGGCUUA
Molecule: long non-coding RNA, 825 nt
Organism: Ipomoea nil (Japanese morning glory)
Lineage: Eukaryota; Viridiplantae; Streptophyta; Magnoliopsida; Solanales; Convolvulaceae
Exons: 3
Source: RefSeq, a predicted model, not a curated record